GUUUUCAAUAAAUACAUAUAUAAAGAAACAUAAAAGUGAUCAACACUGGCUAAAAUUUAAUUGUAUAAAAUCUACAUUACACUAUUACUUUUCAUUUGUUUAUGGACAUGCACCAAUUUCUUUUCUGAAACUACAUAUUGAAAACAUUUUAAUAAAAAAUUACAAAACAAUGUAAGUGUAUCACUUAAUUUCAUCUGGAUAAUGAGCACCAAAGUAAAAUAGUUCCCAAUAAACAGAAGGAAAACAACUGAAUUAAUUUUUGUAGAUCUACUAUAAAUAACAAUAUCACAAAGUAACAGAUCUUAAUCACAUGUUUUGCCCUCUUAUUAAAUUUACAGAAAGCAGAAAAAACUAAUUUUUACAACACCAAGUCCUUCAAAUCUCUUUUCCUUUCGUUUUCUAUUUUGUUUGAUUAUGUAAUUAUAAAAAAUAAUGUUUUUAAACAAUUUUUAUCAUACAAUAUGUCAUAAUUACUUUAAAACUAUGAAAACAAUCCAUUGUUUUGUACUAAUCACAAUACUAAAAAAAAACAAACCCUAAAACACUGUUUUGUAUGAUAAUUUGAGGUUUUUGUUUGACUGAUGACACUGAAAUAUUCUUAAAUAAAACAGAGUUUACCAUAAAUUCAUACAUUGAUUUCUCUUGAUGACUAAUAACUCAAAACUGUUUGGUCCUGUAGGUAAGUGCCUUUUAAAAUUUAAGGGAUUCAUCUCCAUAAUAAAACUUACAGGUGACUGGACACAUAAGGUUCUUAGUGUCUUUACACUUUCAUGGCAGUGCAAAAAAAUACAACCAAGCAAAAUUAACCAUAUGGAUUUUAUAAUCCUUUACCGGAAAAUGAUAGUAUCCCAACCAAAAACAUCUUAUAACAUAUUCAAUUAAGAUAAAACAAAAACACAUCAGAUCUACCCAUAUGAGGUCUAAUUUGAUUUGAAUAGUAACAGACAAUAUAUUGCUAAGAAAUGUCAUGAAAUGGGUCUUAAACAUGAAAUUACAUAUAAAAAAAAACAUGAUAUUUAAACAUAAUGAAAAUGGCAAGUCUUGGUAGCUCUAAAUUUAGUGGUUUAUUGCUCUCAAAUAUUUCUGCCUGAAAACAAGACAUCAUACAAAGGUUGAAUUUAAGGUGUAUGUGUAAAGAAAUUGUUCAAAUCCCUGAGGAAUUUUUAAAAAUUUGAAUCUAGUUAUCACCAGAAAAUAAAUUGAAGCGUAAUCAGCCAUUGUAAUUUCCAUUUGUGAAAAAUAAUACCCAGCAAAGAUCUUUUAAAAAUAUCAAACAAGACAUCAUUAUAAACAAAACAUGCUUAGAAGUUUCUAACCAUUCAGCAUUUUAUAUAAAAUAAAUAAUGAAAAAUAUGAACAGAAAGUUCAUGUUUUGAUUGGAUUAAUUAUUAAUUUUGAUAAUAUAUACAAACUUAGACCAUGAUGAGUGGGAUAUGACAUUAAUUUGAUGUCACUGCAACAUUGGAAUUUAUGAAACUGGAAUAAAAUUAUAAUUGCCUUGUUCAUGAUUGACAUUAUGUUGAUUAUUAUUAUUUCAACUUGAACCCUGAAAUGAUUUCAUAUUUUAUAUUUAUCUCAAUAAAUUAUGACACAGUUAGUAAACAAAAUCUUCCAAAAUAUUGAACAUAAGUUAUGGAAUUUUCUCUAUUCCAAAAAAGAUAUUCAUUAGUUUUGAUGAAUCAUUACACUCUCACAGCACCUCCAAGCAUUCUACAAUUUAUCAAAUUAUUUGGAACUGAUGAUUUAAUUCAAUGAAAUGUUAGGUGAAGUUUUUCUGUAGUAUUGGACAACAUAAAACUUUAUUCAUGCUAAUGUUUACUUUAUUUGAAAAUAUUUCUACACAAGUUUUUAAAAAUGGCACUUUAAACAUUUUUUCCUUAAUGAAACCCAACAAUAAUUUCUUAAUAAACAGUACCCAAUAGCAAAGGAAGUGAUAAUAAUAUAAACAAACAGGAAAUGAUAAACAAAAUCUUCAUAAAUAAAUAGGUCAGGUUCUUGAUUCUUUCCCUCACUCUAAUUAGGUAUCCCAUUAAUAUCUUAUACAACAAUAAUGUACUAAUAAAUGAUAUUUUUAUAAACACAAUGCUAAAUCAGAGUAGGAAACAUAAGUAGCAGCAUGUGUUAACACAACAUGGCAUUUGAUUCUGAAAAAAACAGUAAUAAACAAAUAAUGUGAUAAAUAGGGUGGGAAUGGGGUUUGAUAAUUGAGCGAGGAAAAAAGCUUGGAAUUUAAUGUGAUAGGUUAUAAAUACAUGCAUAAUUAAUACAACAAUUAAUAUACUGAAUUUAAAAAAAAACACUAAUGCAGUUAAAAUAAAGUAAGAAAAGAGCCAUCUGUACCCUGAUAAAAGUUGGGAUCACAUAUUAAUAUCAAAUUUCAUAACUUAUUCUCUCAAAUCCCUGCUUGAUACAAUGUAGGAUUAAAUAAAUCAGCCCUCAUGUGAAAUGGAUUUCCAAAGGAAAAACUUGUGACACAUACAAUUAAAUUAUUCUACAUGUAUUUUAAUACAAUGUAUCUACAUAAAAGAGUUGGCAAGUUAUGCAUAUUAAAUUAAAACAAAAUCAUGCAGGUAUGUGGUCUAAUUGAUAUAACAAUGAUAACGUAGGAUGGUAAAGGUUUUUUUUCGUGCAACAUGUUUUGCAAUUUUAUUUCAUGUGCAGAUGUGAACCAGAUGCUCUGCAGGGCGCAGCUUUAUACGACCACAGAGUUCGAACCCUGAACAUUGGGACAAGUAUGGACACAACAUUCAAGCUUGAUACUUGUGAUUAAAUAGUUGACACAACACAGGUUUCUGACACAUAAUGAAUGUGGUCUACGAACUUUAACUUAAAAACUUUAAAUUGGACAUUACCUAUUAUGGUGCAAUAUAAACUGGAAACCAAAAGUCUUCGAAAGCCGCCACCGCCGACUAGGGACAACGACGACGCCAACGUGAUACCAAUAUACGACCAAAAUUUUUUUCAAUUUUUGCGGUCAUAUAAUUGUUUGUUCAUUGUGAGAUGGCAAUUUUAUUUCACGUUCAUCCGUGCAGAUACCCCCCUUUUACGCCUCUCAUAAUGAGUUCAGACUGUUGUAGGACAUUUAGCCAACUACAUAAGACAUUUGAGGAAAAAAUUCAAAGUUUUAUGGCCAAAGUAGAACUCGCUUUACUCUAGCAUGCUAUUUCCUUUCUUGAUCUGAUAAAAUAGCGCCAUUGAAUAGUAGGUAUUUGUCCUGUGCCUGUUCUGAAAUAUGAAAAUAUUAAAAAAAUAUAGCGGAUUUGUAUACAUGUAACUAAAAAUAAACAAAUCUGUGUGAUAAUAACACAUAAUGCUGCAGUUUUUAUAUCAUAAGAAGUUAACAACAAAAAUGAAAAAGGUGUAAAACAAAAAUGAAAAAUGUGUUAUAAAAAAUAAUGAGAAAUAUAUGUGAUAUUGUGAUUAUGUGAAAAACAGUGAUUAUGUGGUCAUCAACUUAAUUUCUCAUCUGAUAGCAGAUACAGCACUGUAAAAAAAUCUUGUAAAUUAAAGUCCAGAAAA
Molecule: long non-coding RNA, 3519 nt
Filed under: Mytilus galloprovincialis (Mediterranean mussel)
Lineage: Eukaryota; Metazoa; Mollusca; Bivalvia; Mytilida; Mytilidae
Source: RNAcentral